CAGACCGGCUGAACGCUCGGCCGGUCACUCACGAGAGCCGCAGGAUGGAUUGCAAUGGUACGAUACACAGCGCGCCGCUCUACCCAGGAAAUUUCUCGCCCAACUAGUACUAUCCUUUUCCUUUUCCUUCGGUGUUCCUUCCCCACCACUCACUCCCAAUCUCUCACAGAGGCAUGGCUGCCACAAAGCUAUUGCGUUGCUUCCACCGUCCUCCUCCUCUAUACCCAGUUCCUCGCUGCUGACCCACCGGCAAGGCUGGAUGCGGGGCGCUGCCGGUGCUUGGUGUUGGUCGUUCAGGUGGCGCGCGGCAGGAGCGGAGAGACUAUGUGUUGCGCGCGGCCGGGACGGUGCUGCCGCAAGCCUGCGGAAUCGCGAGCGACGGGGAGCGCUAAGAUCAACUACCCCAGGGGUUGCUGGAACCACUUCAUUUUUUGCUGGAACCCUUUUUUUGAUUUUGCUGCAAUUGAUAGCAAUCGUUUUUGCUACAACCAGUCGAAGUAGAGCUGGAACCGUUACGGCGAGGCUGCACCUGGGCACGACAGCGUCGACAGUGGGAGUGUCCACCGGAGUUGCAAGCAGGCGGAGCGAGGUAGACGGAGGCAGAGGAGAAGGCAGAGGCAGGAGGGCUCACCGGGAGGCAGAGGCGGAGUCGGGACAAAGUCAAUCCGGUGCGGGGCGAGGUGGACGAAACGGGAACGGCAGAUCGAACGGUUAUAAUCGCUGAAAUCGGGCGGUUGUGCAUUAACCGGCCCAAAUUGGGCCGGUCGUCCGGCGCCUAGUACUCGCCAUCCGAUAUAUGCUUUUUUUAUUGUCAUUUCGCUCAUGCCAGAUGGCGUGUUGUCCAGGUCAAAUGUAUCUAACUUAUCAUUGGUCAAAGGGGUUGCUAGUAUGUUUGGUAAUUGGUUGAGGGGCUAUCAAAUAUACGUAUUGGCUCGGUACCUCGUCUAUUCUUCAACGACAUGA
This is a long non-coding RNA of Triticum urartu, 963 nucleotides long. RefSeq lists it as uncharacterized. The record is from RefSeq and is a predicted model, not a curated record. Lineage: Eukaryota; Viridiplantae; Streptophyta; Magnoliopsida; Poales; Poaceae.